CGAACGCUGGCGGCAGGCCUAAAACAUGCAAGUCGAACGGAUCCUUCGGGAUUAGUGGCGGACGGGUGAGUAACACGUGGGAACGUGCCUUUUGGUUCGGAACAACUCAGGGAAACUUGAGCUAAUACCGAAUGUGCCCUUCGGGGGAAAGAUUUAUCGCCAUUAGAGCGGCCCGCGUCUGAUUAGCUUGUUGGUGAGGUAAAGGCUCACCAAGGCGACGAUCAGUAGCUGGUCUGAGAGGAUGAUCAGCCACACUGGGACUGAGACACGGCCCAGACUCCUACGGGAGGCAGCAGUUAGGAAUCUUGCGCAAUGGGGGAAACCCUGACGCAGCCAUGCCGCGUGAAUGAUUAAGGUCUUAGGAUUGUAAAAUUCUUUCAGCGGGGACGAUAAUGACGGUACCCGCAGAAGAAGCCCCGGCUAACUUCGUG
Molecule: ribosomal RNA, 431 nt
Filed under: uncultured bacterium
Lineage: Bacteria
Description: bacterial SSU rRNA
Rfam family: Bacterial small subunit ribosomal RNA
Source: RNAcentral